Molecule: unclassified non-coding RNA, 230 nt
Filed under: Hevea brasiliensis (rubber tree)
Lineage: Eukaryota; Viridiplantae; Streptophyta; Magnoliopsida; Malpighiales; Euphorbiaceae
Source: RNAcentral
AAGACUCCUCAACCUGAGGCAACUCUAAUAGCAAAACUCUGUUGACCAGAAGCUUCCCAAAGAAGAUUUGAUUGGCUUGGUUUUUGACUCAAAUAAGAGACCUGACUGAAACAAGUAGACCUAACCUCUUCUUAGCAUCACACUACUUCUCGGAGGCUUGCUAACUUCUGUUGAUUCCAUACCUACUGUCACAACAACCAUUCGAUGUCUCUAGAGUGAGAACCAGAUGG